GAUGAACGCUAGCGGCAGGCCUAACACAUGCAAGUCGAGGGAGAAGCCCUUUCGGGGGCAGAAACCGGCGCACGGGUGCGUAACGCGUAUGCAACCUACCUUUCACAGGGGGAUAGCCCGAAGAAAUUUGGAUUAAUACCCCAUAAUAUUGUUGGAUGGCAUCAUCUGGCAAUUAAAGCUACGACGGUGGAAGAUGGGCAUGCGUCCUAUUAGCUAGUUGGAGUGGUAACGGCACCCCAAGGCUACGAUAGGUAGGGGUCCUGAGAGGGAGAUCCCCCACACUGGUACUGAGACAGGGACCAGACUCCUACGGGAGGCAGCAGUGAGGAAUAUUGGUCAAUGGUCGGAAGACUGAACCAGCCAUGCCGCGUGCAGGAAGAAUGCCUUAUGGGUUGUAAACUGCUUUUAUAUGGGAAGAAUAAGGCGUACGUGUACGUUGAUGACGGUACCAUAUGAAUAAGCAUCGGCUAACUCCGUGCCAGCAGCCGCGGUAAUACGGAGGAUGCGAGCGUUAUUCGGAAUCAUUGGGUUUAAAGGGUCUGUAGGCGGGCUAUUAAGUCAGGGGUGAAAGGUUUCAGCUUAACUGAGAAAUUGCCUUUGAUACUGGUAGUCUUGAAUAUCUGUGAAGUUCUUGGAAUGUGUAGUGUAGCGGUGAAAUGCUUAGAUAUUACACAGAACACCGAUUGCGAAGGCAGGGGACUAACAGACAAUUGACGCUGAGAGACGAAAGCGUGGGGAGCGAACAGG
Molecule: ribosomal RNA, 747 nt
Filed under: uncultured Capnocytophaga sp.
Lineage: Bacteria; Pseudomonadati; Bacteroidota; Flavobacteriia; Flavobacteriales; Flavobacteriaceae
Description: bacterial SSU rRNA
Rfam family: Bacterial small subunit ribosomal RNA
Source: RNAcentral